GAUGAAGAACGUAGCGAAAUGCGAUAAGUAAUGUGAAUUGCAGAAUUCAGUGAAUCAUCGAAUCUUUGAACGCACAUUGCGCCCCCUGGUAUUCCGGGGGGCAUGCCUGUCCGAGCGUCAUUACAACCCUCAAGCUCAGCUUGGUGUUGGGCCCCGCCGCCCCGGCGGGCCCUAAAGUCAGUGGCGGUGCCGUCCGGCUCCGAGCGUAGUAAUUCUUCUCGCUCUGGAGGUCCGGUCGUGUGCUCGCCAGCAACCCCCAAUUUUUUUCAGGUUGACCUCGGAUCAGGUAGGGAUACCCGCUGAACUUAAGCAUAUCAAUAAUCGGAGGA
Molecule: unclassified non-coding RNA, 329 nt
Filed under: soil metagenome
Description: partial contains 5.8S ribosomal RNA, internal transcribed spacer 2, and large subunit ribosomal RNA
Rfam family: 5.8S ribosomal RNA (bases 1-120)
Source: RNAcentral